RNAcentral lists this ribosomal RNA (916 nucleotides) under Staphylococcus epidermidis. RNAcentral describes it as "bacterial SSU rRNA". It matches the Rfam family "Bacterial small subunit ribosomal RNA", at positions 32 to 929 of the family's 1533-position model. Lineage: Bacteria; Bacillati; Bacillota; Bacilli; Caryophanales; Staphylococcaceae. The record is from RNAcentral.
AACGCUGGCGGCGUGCCUAAUACAUGCAAGUCGAGCGAACAGACGAGGAGCUUGCUCCUCUGACGUUAGCGGCGGACGGGUGAGUAACACGUGGAUAACCUACCUAUAAGACUGGGAUAACUUCGGGAAACCGGAGCUAAUACCGGAUAAUAUAUUGAACCGCAUGGUUCAAUAGUGAAAGACGGUUUUGCUGUCACUUAUAGAUGGAUCCGCGCCGCAUUAGCUAGUUGGUAAGGUAACGGCUUACCAAGGCAACGAUGCGUAGCCGACCUGAGAGGGUGAUCGGCCACACUGGAACUGAGACACGGUCCAGACUCCUACGGGAGGCAGCAGUAGGGAAUCUUCCGCAAUGGGCGAAAGCCUGACGGAGCAACGCCGCGUGAGUGAUGAAGGUCUUCGGAUCGUAAAACUCUGUUAUUAGGGAAGAACAAAUGUGUAAGUAACUAUGCACGUCUUGACGGUACCUAAUCAGAAAGCCACGGCUAACUACGUGCCAGCAGCCGCGGUAAUACGUAGGUGGCAAGCGUUAUCCGGAAUUAUUGGGCGUAAAGCGCGCGUAGGCGGUUUUUUAAGUCUGAUGUGAAAGCCCACGGCUCAACCGUGGAGGGUCAUUGGAAACUGGAAAACUUGAGUGCAGAAGAGGAAAGUGGAAUUCCAUGUGUAGCGGUGAAAUGCGCAGAGAUAUGGAGGAACACCAGUGGCGAAGGCGACUUUCUGGUCUGUAACUGACGCUGAUGUGCGAAAGCGUGGGGAUCAAACAGGAUUAGAUACCCUGGUAGUCCACGCCGUAAACGAUGAGUGCUAAGUGUUAGGGGGUUUCCGCCCCUUAGUGCUGCAGCUAACGCAUUAAGCACUCCGCCUGGGGAGUACGACCGCAAGGUUGAAACUCAAAGGAAUUGACGGGGACCCGCACAAG